AUGGGGUUGCUAGCUCUGAAGAUGCUCAUGUCUAGGCGGCGGGAUAGCAAGCAUCUUUGCGGCCAGAUUCAAGCCCGUAAUAGAUUGGUUACUUCAGUGGUUAAAAGAAAGAUCUCUUCAUGCCAACACAAUAACAAUCAAGGUUGCAAGAGAGUGGCAUUUUCAGGGGCAGACCUUCCAGAGGACAUCUGGCGCCAUAUACAUUCCCUACUGCCGCUGCGAGAUGCUGCCCGUGUUGCCUGCGUAUCUCAUGCAUUUUUACGUUCCUGGAAAUGCCAUCCCAACCUCUCCUUCACUAGGAAAGCACUGGGCCUGAAUAGAAUUCCACGUCAAAGUGAUGUAAUUGCAAGGGAUCUCACUAUGAAAGUCGACCACAUUCUCAAAAAACACUCAGGCAAAGGAGUUAAGAAAUUCAGGAUCGAAUUACACAUGCCAGUUGAUCCCUGCUAUCUUAAUAGCUGGCUUCAGAUUGCUGCUGAACUACGGGUUGAGGAACUCGCCGUUGUUCUACCUUCAACCUGCAAUGCAAAUGACUACGAUUUCCCUUGUGCACUUUUUGUUGAUGAUGGGUGUAGAAACGCAAUAGAGCAUCUCUGCCUUGGCGGUUGUGCCUUCCAUCCCACAGCUGGAUUUGGUUACUUGAGAAAGCUGCGGCUGUUUUGGGUGCAUAUUACGGUGGAUGAAUUAGAAUGCCUUAUUUCCAAAUCUCCAGCUUUGGAGCACUUGGCACUCAAGUAUUGCUAUACGAUCACUUACCUGAAGAUACCUAGCCUGCUACAGCAUCUCAGCUACCUGAUGGUAGCUGCAUGCGCUAAUCUGCAGACAAUAGAGUGUAAAGCUCCAAAUCUCUCCACUUUUUACUUCAGUGGUCGACAAGUUGAACUUCUGUUUGGAUGUUCAGUUCAAGUGAAGACCAUGGAAAUGCGUUGUUCUACUCAGUGUAACACCAUUUAUAAUGCUUGUGCCAACCUGCCAUCCAUUGUGCCAAAUAUUGAAACUCUCAGCAUAUCUUCUGUUAGUGAGGUGGUCAAUAUACCAAUCGUGCCUGUAAAAUUCCUCCACCUCAAGUAUCUGUCUAUUUCUCUUGAAGGAAAUGGGGCUUUUUCCCCAGACUAUGAUUACUUUUCUCUGGUUUCUUUGCUGGAUGCUUGUCCUGUCUUGGAAACUUUCAACUUGUUUGUGUCACAGGAUCGCAUGAAACACGAUUCGGUUCUUGGAGACCCGUCGUCACGUCUUAGGCAGAUGCCUGAAUACCGCCACGACAACAUUAAGAAUGUGAGGAUUAUUGGGUUUUGCUCUGCGAAGAGCAUGGUCGAGCUGGCAUGCCAUAUUCUCGAGAAUGCAACAUCACUCGAGUGCCUUACUUUGGACACGAUACGUGCUUUCAGUAUUGACAGACACAUUCACAAAACUGGUGAAUGUGGCCACAUAGGCAGGCAUAUGAUCAGAGAAGCACGUAAGGCGCUCUUGGCUGUCAAAAGAUAUAUCGUGGGAAUAGUUCCCUCCACGGUCAAGUUAAAUGUCUUGCAGCCUUGCAAGCUAUGCCAUGCUUUGGCUGCUUAG
Molecule: ribosomal RNA, 1563 nt
Filed under: Triticum aestivum (bread wheat)
Lineage: Eukaryota; Viridiplantae; Streptophyta; Magnoliopsida; Poales; Poaceae
Description: partial small subunit ribosomal RNA
Source: RNAcentral